RNAcentral lists this ribosomal RNA (459 nucleotides) under uncultured bacterium. RNAcentral's name for it is "partial 16S ribosomal RNA". It matches the Rfam family "Bacterial small subunit ribosomal RNA", at positions 338 to 795 of the family's 1533-position model. The record is from RNAcentral.
CCUACGGGUGGCAGCAGUGAGGAAUAUUGGUCAAUGGCCGAGAGGCUGAACCAGCCAAGUCGCGUGAGGGAAGACGGCCCUACGGGUUGUAAACCUCUUUUGUCGGGGAGCAAAGCGAACCACGUGUGGUUCAUUGAGAGUACCCGAAGAAAAAGCAUCGGCUAACUCCGUGCCAGCAGCCGCGGUAAUACGGAGGAUGCGAGCGUUAUCCGGAUUUAUUGGGUUUAAAGGGUGCGUAGGCGGACUGUUAAGUCAGCGGUAAAAGCCCGGGGCUCAACCCCGGCGAGCCGUUGAAACUGGCUGUCUUGAGAGGUCGAGAGGUAUGCGGAAUGCGCAGUGUAGCGGUGAAAUGCUUAGAUAUCACGAAGAACUCCGAUUGCGAAGGCAGCUCACUGGACUGCAACUGACACUGAGGCUCGAAAGUGUGGGUAUCAAACAGGAUUAGAUACCCUGGUAGUC